GCCCUGGUAGCUUAAUGACUUAGAGUACCGGCCUUGUAAGCCGGAGGGUGGGGGUUAAAGUCCCUCCUAGAGGCA
Molecule: transfer RNA, 75 nt
Filed under: Gadomus longifilis (threadfin grenadier)
Lineage: Eukaryota; Metazoa; Chordata; Actinopteri; Gadiformes; Macrouridae
Description: tRNA-Thr
Rfam family: tRNA
About the family: Transfer RNA (tRNA) molecules are approximately 80 nucleotides in length. Their secondary structure includes four short double-helical elements and three loops (D, anti-codon, and T loops).
Source: RNAcentral